AAUCAACGCUGGCGGCGUGCCUCAGACAUGCAAGUCGAACGCGAAAGUCCCCUUCGGGGGAUGAUUAGAGUGGCGCACGGGUGAGUAACACGUAGGUAAUCUACCUUCGAGUGGGGAAUAACUCAGGGAAACUUGAGCUAAUACCGCAUAAUGCAGCGGCACCACAUGGUGACAGUUGUUAAAGCAUUUAUGCGCUUGAAGAGGAGCCUGCGGCGGAUUAGCUAGUUGGUAAGGUAAUGGCUUACCAAGGCUACGAUCUGUAACCGGCCUGAGAGGGCGGACGGUCACACUGACACUGAAUAACGGGUCAGACUCCUACGGGAGGCAGCAGUCGGGAAUUUUGGGCAAUGGGCGAAAGCCUGACCCAGCAACGCCGCGUGAAGGAUGAAAU
RNAcentral lists this ribosomal RNA (391 nucleotides) under uncultured bacterium. RNAcentral describes it as "bacterial SSU rRNA". It matches the Rfam family "Bacterial small subunit ribosomal RNA", at positions 32 to 414 of the family's 1533-position model. The record is from RNAcentral.